Long non-coding RNA from Raphanus sativus (radish), 1326 nucleotides. RefSeq lists it as uncharacterized. The record is from RefSeq and is a predicted model, not a curated record. Lineage: Eukaryota; Viridiplantae; Streptophyta; Magnoliopsida; Brassicales; Brassicaceae. The transcript is spliced from 4 exons.
CAUCUUUUUAAUGUUUGUGGGCCCCACGUUUUUGUCUGUUUGAUCUGAUAAUUAAGUUUUCUCGUGUGGUUUAGAGUUGGUUUGAUGAUUUAGCCGUCUGAUUUUGGUACACGCGUUCGUUUGUUUAUUUAGCCGGUAUAGGAAAGUCUGGUCACUUAACAAAACACUGCGUUUUGUGUUUGAGGGUUUCAUUGUUAUUUCUUCUACUCUUCAAUCUCGCCGUUUCAGCUAUAAGAUUUCUCUGCAAAUACAAUGUUUUUCCCUGUGAUCUCUUAAUCUUCCAUUUAGUUCAACGUAUUCCUCUUAGUUUCGCCAAUCAAUAUUUUUCUCAUUAAAUUCAAUAACGACCUUUCUGUUUCUUUCACGUUAAACCUAUAAAUUGGAGAGGGGAGUCGGAUGAACCUUCACCAUCACUCUCAGUUAAACUUCUUAAUCAAGCGCAGAAAUAUUAUUCGAUAAUGUCUUCUGAUGUUGUUGUUGCCCAAUCAGUCGUCGGUGCUUUCCGCCUCCGUAGAUCGUUGCUGCUCGGUUUCUCUAUUUUUGGGACCCGGAAAACAUCAAGAAAAAUGGUGAAUUCAUGGGGAUCACUCUACUUCUCAUCAGACCCAUGAUGAUGAUAUCCUGUUAAGGCUUGGAUCGUCGGUGUUCUCCAGAAAAUGGCUGCCCUUACGUUGCUUGCACCGGUUGCAGCAGGCGAUUGGACAAAUGCGAGACCUCUCUCUGGUACAUCAGGAAGGAAAGUUUCACCAAAAGUCACUGAGGUCAUCAGGUUCUCUGUCGAGUUGGCUAUUGACGAUAGCCGAUGACAGUGCUACGUUUGUGGUGUUCUAGACAGAGAUGACCAAACAAACCAACAAAGAAGCAACCAGACUGGCUCUUGGUGAGACUAAUGGUGGUGACGGGUUCAGAGCUACCAAGAUGCCUAGAAGAACUAGCUGUGGAAGCAAUGUAUGUUCCAAAUUCAUGUCACACCUCACACCUCACACCUCACACCUCACACCUCACACCUCACACCUCACAACCACACACCCAACCAUGUCUCUGCAAGCACUGAAGAUGUGGUCCUCAACACUCAUUCAGAGUUUGAUUAGACUAAGCUUUAAUUAAUUGAAGCUGGUUUUCUGUAAAGAGUCGGGCAGUAUCAACUAAGUAAUAAAAGCAUACACUUGCUCUUUUUUUUUAACAAAUCCCACACAUACUCUUUGUAGUUGCAUAAAGUGUAGAGAGAAACAAUUUAUACGACAACUAGAACAAGAAGAAACACUGUCUUUCAACUCUUUAAUUAUGUGUCGCCUUAUGGACCAAACGUUUAAGAUUUUUUUUCAU